CUCUCUGUUCUGAAAAUAUCUUUUUCUGAAAUCUUAUUUCUGCCUCCAAUACACUGCGUCUCCAAUCCAUCCUAAUAAUUGGAAAAAACUACUUUAAAGUUCAUAUGGAACCAGAAUCUACAAAGAACUUAAACAAAUUUACAAGAGAAAAUCAAACAACCCCAUCAAAAAGUGGGCAAAGGAUAUGAACAGACACUUCUCAAAAGAAGACAUUUAUGCAGCCAACAGACACAUGAAAAAAUGCUCAUCAUCACUGGCCAUCAGAGAAAUGCAAAUCAAAACCACAAUGAGAUACCAUCUCACACCAGUUAGAA
Molecule: long non-coding RNA, 314 nt
Filed under: Homo sapiens (human)
Lineage: Eukaryota; Metazoa; Chordata; Mammalia; Primates; Hominidae
Description: HSALNT0329001
Source: RNAcentral